This 500-nucleotide ribosomal RNA is filed under the name uncultured bacterium. RNAcentral describes it as "partial 16S ribosomal RNA". It matches the Rfam family "Bacterial small subunit ribosomal RNA", at positions 899 to 1397 of the family's 1533-position model. The record is from RNAcentral.
ACUCAAAUGAAUAGACGGGGGCCCGCACAAGCGGUGGAGCAUGCGGUUUAAUUCGAUGCAACGCGAAGAACCUUACCUACUCUUGACAUCCAUGGGAUUUUGCAGAGAUGCAGAAGUGCCUUCGGGAACCGUGAGACAGGUGCUGCAUGGCUGUCGUCAGCUCGUGUCGUGAGAUGUUGGGUUAAGUCCCGUAACGAGCGCAACCCUUGUCCUUAGUUGCUAGCAGGUAAAGCUGAGAACUCUAGGGAGACUGCCGGUGAUAAGCUGGAGGAAGGCGGGGACGACGUCAAGUCAUCAUGGCCCUUACGAGUAGGGCUACACGCGUGCUACAAUGGAUGGUACAAAGGGAUGCAGAGCCGUGAGGCGAAGCGGACCCCUCUAAAGCCAUUCGUAGUCCGGAUUGGAGUCUGCAACUCGACUCCAUGAAGUUGGAAUCGCUAGUAAUCGUAGAUCAGAACGCUACGGUGAAUACGUUCCCGGGCCUUGCACACACCGCCCGU